UGCAGCAGCCUGAGGCAGGGCU
This 22-nucleotide microRNA is filed under the name Mus musculus (house mouse). RNAcentral's name for it is "mmu-miR-1906". The record is from miRBase by way of RNAcentral. Lineage: Eukaryota; Metazoa; Chordata; Mammalia; Rodentia; Muridae.